Molecule: ribosomal RNA, 444 nt
Filed under: Blautia sp. AM46-3MH
Lineage: Bacteria; Bacillati; Bacillota; Clostridia; Lachnospirales; Lachnospiraceae
Description: partial 23S ribosomal RNA
Rfam family: Bacterial large subunit ribosomal RNA
Source: RNAcentral
GGUCAAACAAGAAAGAGCGCAGGGUGGAUGCCUUGGCACUAAGAGCCGAUGAGGACGUGAUAAGCUGCGAAAAGCUGCGGGGAGGAGCAAAUAUCCAUUGAUCCGCAGGUAUCCGAAUGGGGAAACCCACCUGGAUAAACUCCAGGUAUCCAUACGCCAAUCCAUAACGUAUGGAAGGGAACCCGGUGAACUGAAACAUCUAAGUAGCCGGAGGAAAAGAAAGAAAACUCGAUUCCCAGAGUAGCGGCGAGCGAAAUGGGAGGAGCCUAAACCAGCGUGCGUGCAUGCUGGGGUUAUGGACUGCAGAAGUUACCGGAAAGGAUAGUGGAAUGGUUUUGGGAAAGCCAGCCAGAGAGGGUGAAAGCCCCGUACACGAAAUCCGGACCGGGACGGCAGGAUCCAGAGUACCACGAGACACGUGGAACCUUGUGGGAAGUCGGGGGG